GGUCAGUCCCUGAGAAGAUGAGGUAUCUGUAACAGACUCUUAUGAGGAGCAGUGUUCUUCAUGAGAAGAUCCCGAAACACUGUAUGUAUAUUAAUUCCAGCACUGCCU
This 108-nucleotide long non-coding RNA is filed under the name Struthio camelus australis. RNAcentral describes it as "lncRNA (ENSSCUG00000014359.1)". The record is from RNAcentral. Lineage: Eukaryota; Metazoa; Chordata; Aves; Struthioniformes; Struthionidae.